GGUCUCUCUUCAGAUCGAGUAAAUCUUUUGCCUUUUACUAAAGAUUUCCAUGGAAUGAACCAGCAUA
Molecule: small nuclear RNA, 67 nt
Filed under: Suricata suricatta (meerkat)
Lineage: Eukaryota; Metazoa; Chordata; Mammalia; Carnivora; Herpestidae
Description: U5 spliceosomal RNA (ENSSSUG00005005322.1)
Rfam family: U5 spliceosomal RNA
About the family: U5 RNA is a component of both types of known spliceosome.
Source: RNAcentral